CGUUAACAGUGCUGUUUUGGCCAUAGCAAGAGCAGCGUCUGCGAGGUGUGAAUUCUUUCUCCUGAUCUUAAGCACAGCACAGAGGAAUAGGAAACAGAACUUGAGCAUCCUGCCAGUAAUAGGCACUGUCAAGAGCCGCAAAUCCAGAAUGCAAGUCAGUGAAACACCGCGCUGAGUUAGAGCAGCAUAUGAGGUACGUGCAUGAUCACAGGCUAAAACUUAACUGGCGCUUCUUCCUUCCAGUGCUAUCUCCUUUGACACUGUUAAUUUGACAGAGAGUAGAAGUGGGGCUUGAUCUUGAAAAUAGACCUGAAGCUAAGAAUUCCAGCACUCUGACUUGUCCACCUCUUGCCUUGGGCAAAUCACCUAUCAAAAGUGUAAGGUUAGAAAUACUAUUUAAAAUGUAUCCUUGGAUUACCUAGCAACAUUUGAGAUGAAUUUUAAAAAG
RNAcentral lists this long non-coding RNA (448 nucleotides) under Apteryx owenii (little spotted kiwi). Its description in RNAcentral is "lncRNA (ENSAOWG00000012305.1)". Lineage: Eukaryota; Metazoa; Chordata; Aves; Apterygiformes; Apterygidae. The record is from RNAcentral.